UCCUACGGGGGGCAGCAGUGGGGAAUCUUGCGCAAUGGGCGAAAGCCUGACGCAGCCAUGCCGCGUGAAUGAUGAAGGUCUUAGGAUUGUAAAAUUCUUUCACCGGGGACGAUAAUGACGGUACCCGGAGAAGAAGCCCCGGCUAACUUCGUGCCAGCAGCCGCGGUAAUACGAAGGGGGCUAGCGUUGCUCGGAAUUACUGGGCGUAAAGGGCUCGUAGGCGGACAUUUAAGUCAGGGGUGAAAUCCCGGGGCUCAACCGCGGAACUGCCUUUGAUACUGGGUGUCUUGAGUGUGAGAGAGGUAUGUGGAACUCCGAGUGUAGAGGUGAAAUUCGUAGAUAUUCGGAAGAACACCAGUGGCGAAGGCGACAUACUGGCUCAUUACUGACGCUGAGGCGCGAAAGCGUGGGGAGCAAACAGGAUUAGAUACCCCUGUAGUC
Molecule: ribosomal RNA, 441 nt
Filed under: uncultured Caulobacteraceae bacterium
Lineage: Bacteria; Pseudomonadati; Pseudomonadota; Alphaproteobacteria; Caulobacterales; Caulobacteraceae
Description: bacterial SSU rRNA
Rfam family: Bacterial small subunit ribosomal RNA
Source: RNAcentral